UGGGGAAUUUUGGACAAUGGGCGAAAGCCUGAUUCAGCAAUGCCGCGUGUGUGAAGAAGGCCUUCGGGUUGUAAAGCACUUUUGUCCGGAAAGAAAUCCUUGGCUCUAAUACAGUCGGGGGAUGACGGUACCGGAAGAAUAAGCACCGGCUAACUACGUGCCAGCAGCCGCGGUAAUACGUAGGGUGCAAGCGUUAAUCGGAAUUACUGGGCGUAAAGCGUGCGCAGGCGGUUUGCUAAGACCGAUGUGAAAUCCCCGGGCUCAACCUGGGAACUGCAUUGGUGACUGGCAGGCUAGAGUAUGGCAGAGGGGGGUAGAAUUCCACGUGUAGCAGUGAAAUGCGUAGAGAUGUGGAGGAAUACCGAUGACGAAGGCAGCCCCCUGGGCCAAUACUGACGCUCAUGCACGAAAGCGUGGGGAGCAAACAGGAUUAGAUACCCUGGUAGUCCACGCCCUAAAACGAUGUCAACUAGUUGUUGGGGAUUCAUUUCCUUAGUAACGUAGCUAACGCGUGAAGUUGACCGCCUGGGGAGCACGGUCGCAAGAUUAAAACUCAAAUGAAUUG
RNAcentral lists this ribosomal RNA (565 nucleotides) under uncultured bacterium. RNAcentral describes it as "partial 16S ribosomal RNA". It matches the Rfam family "Bacterial small subunit ribosomal RNA", at positions 355 to 912 of the family's 1533-position model. The record is from RNAcentral.